Erinaceus europaeus (western European hedgehog) is the source of this 492-nucleotide long non-coding RNA. RefSeq lists it as uncharacterized. The transcript is spliced from 3 exons. NCBI's taxonomy places the organism in Eukaryota, Metazoa, Chordata, Mammalia, Eulipotyphla, Erinaceidae. The record is from RefSeq and is a predicted model, not a curated record.
AAGAAAGUUCAUUCAAUUGGAAGGAAACGUGAAAUCUUCUCUUUUGCUACAGUAUGGCUAGAAUUCAAGGGCAUCAUGUUAAGUGAAAUAAGCAAAGAAGAGGGGCAAGUACUGUAUGAUCACACCCACAGAAGGGAUUUAAGCAAUGGAGCAAGGAACAUAUAUAAGCACACAUGAGGGGCCGAGUGGUGAAGCACCUGGUUGAGAGCACAUGUUAUAAUGCGCAAGAACUCACGUUUGAGCCCUCUGGUCCCUACCUGUAAGGGAAAAGCUUUGCAAGAGGUGAAGCAGUGCUGCAGCUGCCCCUCACCGGCCUCAGACACCCUGUGCCACCCAGGAGAUCUUAGACGGAGCUGCGGAAGGAGAAUUGCAGGUAGAUGAUCAGCAGCAGGACCGUGGCCCAGAACAGGCACCAGGGGAUGGAGCAGAAGUUGCAGCCAGAAGCCUCCUCAGUCUGAGGCUUGGUGGGGCUGGGCGCCCUGGAGAAGGUGU